Molecule: microRNA precursor, 104 nt
Filed under: Marmota monax (woodchuck)
Lineage: Eukaryota; Metazoa; Chordata; Mammalia; Rodentia; Sciuridae
Source: RNAcentral
AAAAAAAUCACCUAAUGAUCUUGUUAAAAUGCAAAAUCUGCAUCAGCAGGUCUGGGAUGGAGCUUGAGAUUCUGCGUUCUUACAAGAAUCCAGGAGAUACUGCU